CAGACCGCCCGUACCGCAAACCGACACAGGUAGUCGGGUCGAGAAGACCAAGGUGAGCGAGAGAACUCUCGUUAAGGAACUCGGCAAAAUGACCCCGUAACUUCGGGAGAAGGGGUGCUGAUCGCAAGAUCAGCCGCAGUGAAUAGGCCCAGGCGACUGUUUAUCAAAAACACAGGUUUCUGCAAAAUCGUAAGAUGAAGUAUAGGGGCUGACGCCUGCCCGGUGCUGGAAGGUUAAGAGGAUGGGUUAGCGUAAGCGAAGCUCAGAAUUGAAGCCCCAGUAAACGGCGGCCGUAACAAUAACGGUCCUAAGGUAGCGAAAUUCCUUGUCGGGUAAGUUCCGACCCGCACGAAAGGCGUAACGAUCUGGGCACUGUCUCAACGAGAGACUCGGUGAAAUUAUAAUACCCGUGAAGAUGCGGGUUACCCGCGACAGGACGGAAAGACCCCAUGGAGCUUUACUGUAGCUUGAUAUUGGGUGUUUGUACAACUUGUACAGGAUAGGUAGGAGCCGUAGAAGUCGGGACGCUAGUUUCGACGGAGGCAUCGGUGGGAUACUACCCUCGUUGUAUGAACACUCUAACCCACGCCGGCAAUCACGGCGGGAGACAGUGUCAGGUGGGCAGUUUGACUGGGGCGGUCGCCUCCUAAAAGGUAACGGAGGCGCCCAAAGGUUCCCUCAGAAUGGUUGGAAAUCAUUCGCAGAGUGUAAAGGCAUAAGGGAGCUUGACUGCGAGACCUACAAGUCGAGCAGGGACGAAAGUCGGGCUUAGUGAUCCGGUGGUUCCGCAUGGAAGGGCCAUCGCUCAACGGAUAAAAGCUACCCUGGGGAUAACAGGCUUAUCUCCCCCAAGAGUCCACAUCGACGGGGAGGUUUGGCACCUCGAUGUCGGCUCAUCGCAUCCUGGGGCUGUAGUCGGUCCCAAGGGUUGGGCUGUUCGCCCAUUAAAGCGGUACGCGAGCUGGGUUCAGAACGUCGUGAGACAGUUCGGUCCCUAUCCGUCGCGGGCGCAGGAAAUUUGAGAGGAUCUGUCCUUAGUACGAGAGGACCGGGAUGGACAUACCGCUGGUGUACCAGUUGUUCUGCCAAGGGCAUCGCUGGGUAGCUAUGUAUGGAUGAGAUAAACGCUGAAAGCAUCUAAGUGCGAAACUCACCUCGAGAUAAGAUUUCCCACUCCUUUAUGGAGUUAAGACCCCUGAGAGAUGAUCAGGUAGAUAGGAUGGAAGUGGAAGUGCGGCGACGCAUGGAGCGGACCAUCACUAAUCGGUCGAGGACUUAACU
Molecule: ribosomal RNA, 1281 nt
Filed under: metagenome
Description: bacterial LSU rRNA
Rfam family: Bacterial large subunit ribosomal RNA
Source: RNAcentral